UUUUUUCUUUUUUUUUUUUUUUGUAAUUUUAUAAAGCAGGGAAUGGAUGCAAUUUAAUAUAGCAGCUUUUCCAAGCAAGCCUCUGGAAUCUCCUGUAAACCCCCAUGAUUUGGUCAAGGGAGGAUAUUAGGGGAAGCAGUGAAGCCCAACAGUUAGCAUCCUCCCCUUUCUCCUAAAAGGUUGAAGCUGAAGUGGAACACGCCAUUAAGUAAUUUUAUAAAGCAGGGAAUGGAUGCAAUUUAAUAUAGCAGCUUUUCCAAGCAAGCCUCUGGAAUCUCCUGUAAACCCCCAUGAUUUGGUCAAGGGAGGAUAUUAGGGGAAGCAGUGAAGCCCAACAGUUAGCAUCCUCCCCUUUCUCCUAAAAGGUUGAAGCUGAAGUGGAACACGCCAUUAAGAAAAAAAAAAAAAACAAAAGGAGUUCUGCAUCUCUCCGGCGCUGAGGGAACAAAUGGGCGUGGGGAUGAUUCUUCUUCCAUUCCAAGCUUAUCAACGUCGUAACAAGGUAGCUCUAGGGACAAACUAUGGCUAGAUUGAAUCCUUUUUAUUUAUUAUAUUAUGAUAUUUAGAUAUAUAGCUAUGCUUAGGGGUAUGGAACUUAGCAAGCUUUCUCGAUCAACUGCUCCUGGGGAAUCCCAAAAGAUUUCAGGCAACUCUGACUCAGAAGCACAAAAACUCUGCUUUGCUGGAAACCCAAUUCUCAAAAAUCUCGGAAGAAAGAAAGAGAAAUUUAGCUUAAAAAAAAUCCAAAACCUCUAAUUCUUGAAAACUUAACUUUAGCCACGACUCUUGAAUAUUUGGCCCAGGGUACUCUUUUGGUUUCUUCUGCGAAAUAUCUACUCUAAGUUCGGGUAAUGAUUAACAACAUCUAGGCCAGUUUGUUUCUUAACGGGGACAAAGUUGAUUAAUUCGUUAAAUCCAAUAUGCAAUUGCACCAUCUGAAAUUAUUACUAGAUAAACACAGUUGGCAAAGCAUUCAAUUUUAUUUUUUUUUUGGUAACCCGGAACAUGUCCCGACCAGAAUCCUUAGGAUCCGAGCCGGCACACCAAACCGGAGGGAAGCCGACAGCCCCAUACAGCUUCCCGGACGAGUCAGGAUGUGCGACGCAGCGGGCACGAAUCGAAUCCUGGUCAGUGGAAAAACCAGCAACACAAGACCGACCCCUCAACCGCUGCGCCAUAUGCCCUGGGGGCCAUUCAAUUUCAGUUGCAUAACAACAAAAAGGAUUGUCGGGGAUAGACAUCAGAAAUUUGGAACAAGAAUAUCUAAAUGCGAUUCUUGCUAUGACAAAAGAGUGAAGCCUCAAAUUGAAAGUCAUAUAAAAAUGUACUAUAUUUUGAGAACAUGGAUAGAACCUGGAUGAAAAUUACAAUAUGCAAUGUAAAAUAUUUAUCUUUAUUUUCACAAAAUAUACUACUUUAAUGUGCAUAGUGUAGUCAAUGUCUAUGUAUAAUACACUACACCUACAUACAUAAAGUACAAUUCUUUUUCUAUAUUUUGUAUGUAUCCAAAUAUUUUCUUGUAUUGAAAAAUGAAAAAAUAUUUAAAUAUAAUAUGCAAACCAUGUUAUUUUAAUAUAGCUAUUCAGAAAAAGUACACCUUAAAGAUGAUCCUUUGAAACAAUUGAGGGGAAACUAUCAUAUACAUGAUCAUCAUUCAUUUUUUAUAAAGUACAUGAUUUAAUACUUUACCUACAUACACGAUUUAAUAUAUAAGAUUUUGAUCUAAUAGUGCAUUAAAUUUGUUGUAGUGAAUCAUUUUUGUUUUUCUUUUCUACUACUUUCUUUUCCUUUUUAUUUCUUUUCCUUUUCACUUCUUCCAUGUCACUAUUUUCUUCACUUACCCAUAAGUAUUGCUAAUUGUGUGCUUAUUUAAAUAUUGUAGUUUUCUUUUAAUUAUAAUUUCAUUCUUACUUUGAUUUAUUAACUUAUUUAUUUAUAGUAUUAAGAAAUUCAUGAUAAACUAUAUAGCGUGACAAAAUAUCAAUUACAUGUCAUAAUCAAAGGAGUAUAUAAUUUAACUAUUUAACAGAUAUUAGCAAACUAGAAUCUUUAUUAUAUAUUUCAAAGUAUAUGCCAAAUAAAUAAAGUAACUAGUAGUCGUAUGAAUUUUAUGCAUAGACAAUUAAACGUUAUGUGAUUAUGAUCUAUUUAUUUGUUAUUUUUUAUUAUCAAUUAAUUAAUGUAAAUGCCAUAUGGAAUAGUCUAUGUGGAUAGCUAAUAUAGACUUUGUUAUAGUGUAGAAUUUGUUAUCAUUAUUACUUUUUAAAAAAAAAUUUAGCAAAAGAAAGGUGAGAUUUAAGAAGAGGGAGAGGGAAGGGGAGAUUUGUGAUUAUUAUUACUUCUAACAGGAAAAAGUAAAUAGCACUAUAAAUAAAGAAUAUAUUUAUGAAAAUUAAAAAUAAUACAUAGAUAAUAAUAAUAAUAAAGAAAAAAAGAAAGUAGUUGGUCACAUGAAAGAAGGGAGAAAAAUUGAAAGCCAAAAAUAAAAGGGACAAAAGUAGAAAAGAAAUAUAAAUAUAAUUACUGCAAAGAACAGACACUUUUGCUUUUUUUUGUUUAAAUUUCUAGCAAGGAAGAUUCACUUUUAUCCUAAAACAUCAUGUAGGAGGGCAAAGUAUCUAUUUAAUGAGUUCAAGUAGGUAACAUGCAACUCGAGGCAAAGUUCAAAAGGAUUUUACUGCAUUUAACCCUAAAAGAAGUCACUAAAUAAUAUAAUAUACUAAUAUUAGAAUUGAGACUCUUACUGAGGGUUUUUUUUUUUGUGCACCACCACCACACCGCACUCCACCAAAGGCCACAAGAGAAUGAAAGCUCAAGUUUCGGAAUUUUUCCCUUUUGUAUAAUUUGCGUUCUGCCUCGUCUUGUCUCACUUAUUUUGAGCUUUAGAAAUAUCUCUUGAUCUUUGUAUUCUUCCUUAUAAUAGCAAAAUUUGCUCUCUUCCACUCAUGAACAUCCGUCUAUUUGACCGAAUUACAUAAAUCUUAGUGUCUUUAUCUUUUAUUAUUUUUCCUUUACAUUUUUAUUAUAGUUUUCAUUAUUAAUUUUGUGAGUAACCAAAUAACUUUUGUCCAAUUACUUUGGCCAAAUCCUAACACAUUUUAACUGAUCACAACACCAUUUGGUUCGUGUCCUAAUGGAAAUUGACCAUAAUGAGCAAGCCUAUAUUCUCCGGGAAAAUUCUGAUAGAAAAUCAUGAGCUCUCAAAAUUUAGUAGAUGUUGAAUGAAAAUGAAAACUUAAUUCGCUUUAAUUUGUUAUAGGCCUUGGCGGGCCUUUCGGUGCAUCCUUGGUUUCAGAUCAUUUUGGGUUCAAAAUUUUCCUCAGUUUCAUUUGGGCCCAACAUAAUCGAGUCCAAACACACUUUGGGCACUUGGUUUUCUCCUCAGAUUUUGCUUUAUGUCUCAUAUUUGUCCACUUCAGCCUUCGGUGGGAAGCUAAAAGCUCUUCUCAAUGUGAAUAAAUACGAGUUCCAAAAUAACAGAUAUUUUCCCAAUCUGAAAAGCUUUAAUAGCCUGAGAAAUAGAUAAAUUGAUUAACUUUCAAGGAACAGAAUGGAUUAAAUGACAUAUGCAUUACUGAAAAUUAGAAUUUCAAUAUGGGAGAAAGGACGUCCAACAACAUCAGGAGCAAUUCUUUUAGGCACAACAAUGCCAAAUUAUCUGCAAAGAAGAGUAUGAAAUUCUUGAUGAUUUUUGCAUACUCUUCCAAGCGCAUCAAGCUCCCCAAGCUAGUUGCUCAUGUAGUUGUUGCUAUAACUGAAUCAAAAUGUUACCAAUAGAUUUAUGAUCAUUCUUGAAAAUACAAAUCCGUGCUACAGUAGAGAGGGUCACAAAGAAAAAUUUGUCCUUGUCACUGAAAACGAUUUUAGUUUUGUUAUUAAUGAUUACAAACAAAUACAACAUCUAGGUAAAGUCAAUGGAUAGCGUUCAGGUUGAAUCUAAUUGAUCCAAAUCCAAGCUCACUGCAUUUGUCAAUUACCGAGACGCUCAUGGUUAGAAAAUUCAAACUCGAAACCUUAUGGAUCUAGCUAGUGAUUGGGUAUGAACAUGUAUUUCUUGAUGUGCAAUUAGAAAUAAGGACAAAAUACUCAUAAUCCCCCUGUACUUCUUAAUGAUACCACAUGAUCUCCCCAAGGUUAUAAAAUGUUCACUUAAUCCCUUGUGAUUUUUAUGUAAAUUGAAAAUUUGAUGAAAAAUAGUUUCUGUAACAUCAUUAGUUGAAAUGCUAGUGUCGGACUUACUUGAAUACUAAAUUAAAUAAGGGCCUAACCAUUUUGCUUACCGUCAUAAUGGGAUUAUGUGGAUAGAUGCAAAACUACAAGGUGAUUAAGUGGAUAUUUAUCCAAAACUAUAGAGGGUUAAAUAGAUAUUUUAAAAUUUCACCACAUGUACUUUUUGGAAAGUGUCUCGGUCAAUUGCUAUAACCAGAAAUUUUUCAUCUAUUUUUCACUUUAUAUAAAACCAAAGGAGGAUGAUAUAUGGACAUUUUGAAACAUUAAAGGGCGUCAUGUGAUAUCAUGCAAAAGUACAAGGAGUUACAAAUCAUUUACCCUGAAAACAAAUUCAAAAAAUAAUAAAAACAUAUUAAAUUCAAAGAUAACAAACCUAUAAUCCAAAUGCCAUUUUCAAAUAACAAAAUCAACAUUUUAUACUAUAUAUAUCUAUGUAUGUGUGUGUACACACACACACAUAGACCAUACAAAAUCCAAACUUGUAAUUCUUUCACAAUGUCUCAAUUCAGAUAGGGUGUGGGUUUGAAAAAUUGGAAAUCAACCUAGGAAAAUAAUGAGGGAUCUAGAUAACACUCAUCCCAUUGACGUGGGAGUUAAGAUCUUCUCCAUUAGAUUUCUUUAAAUAUAUUUAAAUUACUAUGACUUUAUAAAAUUAUCUGAUUAUGUCAUUACUUUUAUUUUAAUCUCUAGAUCAACAUACUAAAAAAUAAUAUUGCUUUGAGAAUAUUUUGGCAUUUAAUUUAUACUAAACAUUUGAAGAGUGAAAAAUGAGUCACAAUAAUAAACAGAUUUAUAGUGAUUAAUCAAACGAUAAAAUUUAGUCAAUUUCAUAUGAAAUUUUAUAUAUAACUUACACAAGUGAGGAAAUGGUGUCCAACAGCUUUUUCAAUUCCAAGAUCAUUUUGUCCACAUCUCUCACUGUUUUCGUCAAGCUAACCUAGUUGUAGAUAUCCUUUCUAAUGUUGGGUGUGUAGAUGUUUUGGACAAGUUUUAUCAUCAAGUUUCUGAACUACCUUCUUUAGCUCGAGGUGCGUUGAGGAAAUAAAAUGUUGAUGAUAAAACUUGAUGAUAAAACUCGAUCAAUAUUGAGCUCGAGUUCGAAUUGACCAAGUUGAGCUCGACCUAUCCAAGUCGAGCUCAAAGGUCGAGCUAACCGAGCUCGAGACUCGAGUUCAAAGGUAUUUAGUUCGUUAACUCGUGAGCCGACUCAAUUAUAUAUAUAUAUAACUUUUUAUUUUAGUAAUAAAAUUACACAUAUAUUCCUAAUAUUUUAUUAUUUGUUAAAAAUUUAUUAUUUUAUUUAUAUUUUAAAAAUAAAAUAAUUAUUUUUUUUAAGCUCGAACUCGAGUUUUACAUUUUGAUCUCAUUGAGUUCGAAAUUCAUAAAACUAAGUUGGGACUUUACUCAAUUAGGCCAAAGUUUGAUUUGGUUUGACUCGUUUGCACCCUAAUUGAAGCUAAAUGCAUUAGGCUUACCAUCAAUUAGGAAAUUAAUUGUUCAUUAGUUUGUAAAGAAAGUAGUACUUCUUGUUUUUUGGUUUUUUUUUUUUCCACUGCUUGUUUGGAGGUAAGGUUUAUGUCCAUCUCCUUUUUUAAAUUUAUUAAUAAAAUUUAGGGGUGGCGUCUCUCCCCCAUAUACGGGGUCUGCCAUUUAAAAAGAAAAAGAAAAUAUAUUUUGGACGGUAUUAUUUUUUAAAAUAAUUUUAUUAGGGUGUGAUGGAGAGAUUCUCUCCAUUGCAAUGGAGAGGAGCUCAGCCUACCUAAACUUACCCUCUUCAAAAUACUGAUAAACUUCGAUCCAUUUACUUGUUCCUCAAUUGAGAAAUGCCACGAAAGUGACGCAACCAGAAUUUAAGAAAGCAUCGCAGAUCUCAAACCUGUCGGCUUAGAUAAUAUCAAGAUGCAUUUCUUGGAUGCACUCAAGAUGAUUUUGCUGCAAAGCCAGGAAUUCCUAGGACCAGUUUCUAUGGAAUGAACGGCUUUGCUACGAACAGUAUAUACGUUUUUCAGCUAGUAAGUAACUUAUUGCCUGUUACUUUUAAUAACACACCUAAACUAAAACCAUGCCUAAUUCGGUAAUUCCUCACUUAGCCAUAUGUACUUUUAAUAAAUUAUUGCCUGUUACUUUUAGACAUAUGUACCUUAGCAUUUUUUGUAAUUUAGCUAAUGUUUUCUUAAUAAUAAACUUAUAAAAAUUACAAAAGUACUUUUUAUAAAUUUAACGGUGACAAGUAUGUCAAAUGGACGUAAAAGUCCAUUCAUGCCUACUGCAGACUUAACAAAUUUGCAAAAAUGAUUAAAAAGAAACUAAACUGGAGGGUGCAAUUUCAUCCAAUAAUUAGAGUUUAAGGGUACAAAAUAGAAAUACAUAACAAAUUAGGGUUCAAAAUGAUGUUUAACAUCCUGACUAACCGUGAUCGAUAGGUUUGCAAUCACAUAUAAUUUCGUGAAUUUCCUGAAUAAAAAACCAAAGUUGGAUGGCUACUUAGGGUACAAUGUAUUCUAAUUGAUUGUGUAAAGUGCAAAUCCAUCAUGAAUUAUAGGGUACAAAGUGGAUUUAGUCAUUUAUAAAAUACCAAUGUUACUUUUAAUGUUGUACUAACUAACAUAGUCCUUAGUCAAUUCCCAAGUUUUAGGUUUAUUUUCAAUUGUUCCUAUAUGUUUCAAGGACUUUUCAAUUGUUCUUCUUUCCAAGUCUCUUACACAUAUAUUUUUUUUCAACAAGAAGUCCUCGUCGAAAUUGAUGUCAAGAUAAAGGUGUCCAUCUUAAAUUUUUCAUAUCUUCUUAGAUACUUCGUGCCAAGCAUUUCAAUUGGUUUCAUAUCUUCUUUCCUAUGUCAAGGAAGAUAUAUAUUGGUAAAAAAAAAAAAAAAAAAGACACAAGCACAAACAAUAUGUGGUCACUGGAUAAAACACAAAGGAAAAAAUAAUGUCUGUUAACAUAGAAAAUUAUUUAAAUCUUGUAUGUUUCUACUUGGACACGGAGAUCAAGGUCAACUAGACUUCCACAAAGUUAUAUAUUUCGUGGAGGUAAGCGAUGUUGUCAAAGCAAAUUAAAGCCUAGAUUACAGAUUUUGUCCUUUAAGACACUCUCAGAUGGAGGCAAUUGAAUAGAGAAGUUUGUGCCCCGCGUGAAUGGUCCAGCGGCAGUGCCUCUCACCAGUGAACAUUGAGGUCACAAGUUCGAGUCUCCGCUCCGCUGGAUUCCUCCGCGCACUUAAUGUGUUCAGGCCGGGUUGGGGCGCCGAGCCCGGGCUGCAGGGGAUUAGUCGGGCCAAGUAAGGAUUGACCCGGACACCCCUGUGUCAAAAAAAUAAAAAGAAUAGAGAAGUUUGCAUGUGUACUAUUCAAACCAAACUAUUAAUGUGCUAGUGUUUGUCUAUGCAUGUCUUGACUCUUGAUUGUCAAACUAGAAGAGAUAGCAUUCAUUAUCAAGGCUACUCACCAUAUCCCCUCUCACAGAGAAUAUUACUUCACAAUACAAGGACUCAGUCUCUUGCUAAGUAUCACUGAAUAGGAAUCAGGGCAUAGCAAUGAUAUGUUCACUUAGGCACUGCUUGUUUUGAGGGAAUAGGAGGGAAAGGAAAAGAAAUGGAGGGACUCUUCCCCUUGGACAAGCGGUCAAACAUGCUCUUUCUUGCAGUGAAGUCUUUUCCUUGUAGUGGUCUCUUCCCCUUGAACAAGCGGUCAAAAAUACUCUUCUUCUGUCGUCCUUCCUUCGCCUCUCCAUUGGUUUUAGUAUCACAAACAAUGAAAGUUAUAUUGAACUUCCUGUCUCGGCGACGUUAUAUUCUUGUCUCGAUAACUGCAUGUUAUUGCUGUAUCACUUCUCUUGUUAAGUUCACAAACUUAGUAAGAGUUGGAACAUAGAAUUUUAACAUUUAAUAAUUGAAUAAAUUCGCCGGUAAACUACUUCAGUAAUUAUUCUUUCUUUUAUUUUUACAUUCUGCAUUACAGUAUACUCCUGAAUGAGAGAACUACUCCUAUAAAAAGGAGCAUUUUGUACUGCAAAACCAAAAAAUCAAAACAACAAACAAAGAAGCCAGCAACCGCUGCAAAAGAUGGUUGCCAUUUCCUCCCCACAUUUUGUAAUAUUCCCCUUCAUGGCUCAAGGCCACACUAUCCCCCUCCUCUACCUUGCUCGCCUUCUCUGGCAGCGCAAUGUCGCUGUCACGGUGUUCACCACCCCAGCUAACUCUCCAUCAAUCCGUGCUACUCUCCAUGACACUGCCAUCUCAAUUAUUGAACUACCUUUCCCAGCACAUGUUGAUGGCAUCCCUCCAGGGGUUGAAAAUACUGAUAAACUUCCAUCCAUGUUACUAUUUGUUCAAUUUGCAAAUGCCACGAAACUCAUGCAGCCACAUUUUGAGAAGGCACUUGAAGAUCUCAAACCCGUUGGCUGCAUAAUAUCUGAUGGAUUUCUAGGAUGGACUCAAGAUUCUGGCGCAAAGCUAGGAUUUCCAAGAAUUGGUUUCUAUGGAAUGAGCAGCUUUGCUACUACCAUGUAUGCGAUUAUUGGCCAAGAAAGGCCACAUGCACUUACUAUGUCACCUGAUGAGCCCUUUUCCAUCCCAAAUUUCCCUAAACUAACCUUGACAAGAAAUGAUUUCAAUCCACCAUUCAAUGAAAUUGAACCAAAAGGUCCGAUGGUUGAGUUCAUUACAGAGCAAAGUAUUGCAAUGGCAAAAAGUUACGGCAUGAUUCUCAACAGCUUCUACAAGCUUGAAGCAGCCUAUACUGACUUCUGGAACAAAUGCCUUGGACCCAAAGCCUGGUGUGUUGGUCCUCUAGCGGAAGCCAAGCCGCCAGUAUUAUUAGCUGAAGAAUCUGCAAAGCCAAAGUGGAGGCACUGGCUUGACAAAAAAUUGCACAAUGGAAAGUCAGUUUUGUACGUGGCAUUUGGAACUCAGGCUGAAGUAUCCCAAGAGCAACUGCUUGAAAUUGCAAAUGGUCUAGAACAAUCUAAGGUGAAUUUCUUGUGGGUCAUAAAAUCAAAACGGCUGGAGAUCUUGCAAGGGUUUGAAGAAAGGGUGAAGGAUAGAGGGAUCAUAGUGAAAGAAUGGGUAGAUCAGAUGGAGACACUUAGGCACGAGAGUGUAAAAGGGUUCUUGAGCCAUUGUGGAUGGAACUCAGUUACUGAAAGCAUGUCAGCUGGCGUGCCCAUCUUGGCGAUGCCAUUCAUGGCUGAGCAACAUCUGAAUGCAAGACUUGUAUCGGAGGAGGUUGGUGUAGGCCUGAGAAUUAUGCCAUGCAAUGGAUCAGUGAGGGGCUUUGUCAAGUCAUCGGAAGUGGAGAAGAGAGUGAAAGAACUGAUGCAAGGAACAAAAGGGGAGGCCGCAAGGAAAAAGAUGGAAGAGGUUGGAGAAGCUGCUUGUGAUGCAAUGAGAGAAGGUGGUUCCUCAUGGGAAACUCUAGAUCAACUCAUCCAUGAUAUAAGUAACUACACAAGAUUAACUCCUCUUAAUCAUGGAUUGGUAAGUGAACUUGGGACAGUUUCAGUUAGUUAAUAAUUUGUUUAUGUGUGAUGAAUUGGUAUACGGUAUAGUUGUACGUACAGCAAUACCAUAUGGGGCUACUACAGUUUUAUGUAAAUCAACUUUCGUAACAGGACAACAACAUUAUGUUAGUGUAUACCAAAUCUCAUGAAAAAUACACAUCACCUAUAUGCAUCCACAGCAACCCCGAAGUCUUAACCGCAGUGUCCCUGGUUUGUAAUAAGUUGUCAAGCAACCGAAAUUGUUCUCCUAUCGUUUGGAAUCAACUUUGUUUUUCUUUUAUGUAUAUUGUAUUUAUUUGGGAUCCAAAGGUUAGACCUAGGUUGAUUUUAAAGUUGUGAAAUCUGAUUAAUAAUUUGGAAGGGCUAUGCAAUAGCGACCUCAGAACCUUGCAUCCAAAUCAACCUUGAGAUCCUUGGCUUGAUUAUUCGACUUGUACAGUAAAUAAAAUCAUCCAAAGUGUCAAGAAGCAAACUUUCAUAAAAAAGCCCGUGCAAAAUCCUAGAAGACAUAUCUAGUCUACAGAUGUCUGAAGCCAACAUAUGCGUGUCUUCUAGAGAGUUAUUUUACAAGCACAACAUCAAAGAAGAAAAUUUAUUAUGCUAAUGCUACAACUGAAGACAAAGGGUUUAAAAUACAUUCAUGCAAUAGGGUGUACAGAAAUUAUCUAAAGGUCUAUGCGUUCACUACUUCUAUUGAUCUUAUAAAACUACUUACCAAUCGUAUCCAUCUAGUGUUUGCCCGUGUACACUCAACUCGCAGGACAAACUAAGAGUCUACUGCUGUUCUUCUUGCAUAUUUGUCAACAUCCAAGAAGAGAUUUCCAACCAAAUAGGAGAGACAACAGAUACAAAGUCCAAAAGCCUUUUGUGUUUCGCUCAUACUUCAUAACGAGGCCUUUUCUUAAAGAUCUAAAGAAGCUCUAAACCUUCUUAUAAGGCUUAAAAGGAAAGGGAUCAAGGGAACGGGGAAAAGCUUAAGAGUAGAAUCAUGGAUAGACCACGACGUGAUCCUAAUCAUUUCAAACGCCCACCAGAAUGUGUUUGGAUUGCAAAUUUAUUUCAAAUAAUAUUUCGCUUGCAUCAUAAACACAUUUUUCAAUCCACCUUCUUAUAUUCCCCACUACUUUUUAUCUCUCAUACAUCAAAUCACAAAAAAUGCUACAGUAAUUAUUCCAAAUAAUAUUUCAAAUAAUACUCUAUCCAAACAUAUUUCAAGCAAUCUGAAAUACUUCAUUAUCGCAACGCGCAAAAUUUUAAUGUGGCGAAGGUUGGGUCUUUCAUACUUGAAAAUGCUACUGCUUUAGAAAUAGUUGUUUGAUUUUUUCUUUUUUUUGACAAAUUUGUCUCAUUAACCCCGCAACGGGACAAUUUUGAUAUGCUCCCUGAUAAGCUUGCACAUCACAAUGGAUGGCGUGUUAAAAAAGAUGAUCAGAUUCAUAAAGAUACAUCAAACGUUUGAAGGGAUUUAGAGUACUCUCUUGUCUUCUUCACUGCUAAGUCAUGCAAAUGAGAGCUGUUUGCAGUCAAACUAGCUCGAAUAGGGUCCAGAAAUGGAACUUAGGACUUCAUGCACUUCGUAGCCACAUGACAAUAUGUAUUCAAAUUCUGAAGUUGGUAACAAAAUUCAAUUAGCAGAACAUUUUUGUUUCAAAACAGAUAAGAAAACUGAAAGGCCAACAGUUGAUGGUUCACUCUGUCUAACUAAAACUAUUUUUGCAAACCUUCAAAACUUUGAAAGAUACAAAAUGGAAUAAAGUGACGAGACAAAUCAGUCUUUCAAUUUCCCUAGAACCAUAUAAGCAGGAGGAAACAUGACUUGACUUUGUUUCACUUUCAAAUAAGAUCCUUCGCAUCCAAACAAUAGCUAAAGAAAAUUGAAGAGCCACCUUAAAUGUCAUAUCUCAAAACGAAAGGGAGGAAAAAUAUUUUCAUCCUUCACAAAAUGACAUGCAUCCAUGAUGAGACCACACCUAGUUAAAACUAGUCUACAAAUAAUAUUUGAGAAAGUACAUCACAUGAUUCUCGAAUAAAUUCGUCUAGAGAUGGCUAAUCUAAGCAGUUUUACGUACAUACAUAUUUAUCAUAUAAAGGCUGCAUUAAAAUGCU
RNAcentral lists this long non-coding RNA (11832 nucleotides) under Coffea arabica (coffee). RNAcentral describes it as "long non-coding RNA (CARA_LNC003184)". Lineage: Eukaryota; Viridiplantae; Streptophyta; Magnoliopsida; Gentianales; Rubiaceae. The record is from RNAcentral.